UGCGUAGGUGGUCGGGUAAGUCUGAUGUGAAAUCUCGGAGCUCAACUCCGAAACGGCAUUGGAUACUAUCCGGCUUGAGAGUUGGAGGGGGGACUGGAAUUCUCGGUGUAGCAGUGAAAUGCGUAGAUAUCGAGAGGAACACCAGUGGCGAAGGCGAGUCCCUGGACAACUUCUGACACUGAGGCACGAAAGCCAGGGGAGCAAACGGGAUUAGAUACCCCGGUAGUCCUGGCCCUAAACGGUGCACGUUUGCUGUAAAAGGAAUCGACCCCUUUUGUGGCGUAGCCAACGCGUUAAACGUGCCGCCUGGGAAGUACGGUCGCAAGAUUAAA
Molecule: ribosomal RNA, 332 nt
Filed under: uncultured bacterium
Lineage: Bacteria
Description: bacterial SSU rRNA
Rfam family: Bacterial small subunit ribosomal RNA
Source: RNAcentral